RNAcentral lists this ribosomal RNA (505 nucleotides) under uncultured bacterium. RNAcentral's name for it is "bacterial SSU rRNA". It matches the Rfam family "Bacterial small subunit ribosomal RNA", at positions 28 to 521 of the family's 1533-position model. The record is from RNAcentral.
GAUGAACGCUAGCGGCAGGCUUAACACAUGCAAGUCGAGGGGCAGCAUGAACCGACCUUCGGGAAGGUUUGAUGGCGACCGGCGCAAGGGUGCGUAACGCGUGAGCAACUUGCCCGUUUCUGGGGAAUAACCGGUGGAAACGCCGACUAAUACCCCAUAGUAUUGGAUUUAGGCAUCUUUAUCCAAUUAAAGAAUUUCGGAAACGGAUAGGCUCGCGUGACAUUAGCUAGAUGGCGGGGUAACGGCCCACCAUGGCGACGAUGUCUAGGGGUUCUGAGAGGAAGGUCCCCCCACACUGGAACUGAGACACGGUCCAGACUCCUACGGGAGGCAGCAGUGAGGAAUAUUGGUCAAUGGUCUGACGACUGAACCAGCCACGCCGCGUGAAGGAUACGGGCCCUAUGGGUCUUAAACUCUUUUGUAAGGGAGCAAUAAGCGCCACGUGUGGCGUGAUGAGAGUACCUUACGAAUAAGCAUCGGCUAACUCCGUGCCAGCAGCCGCGGU